GGAUAUUGUGAAGGGGAUUCAUGGCAAUGUGUCCUUUACUGUAAUAACUUGUAAAAAUUUAAUCCUUCGCUGUAUACUUUGAUCACUCCGCCAGUUAUUCAAACCUAUAUUUCACUGAGGAAACACGGGCAGCUCCGUAGAAGUGGUCAGAGCUCAAACUCUAGUCCUAGGGCCUGGGGGCGGGGUAGGGAGACACUGCCUGCAAACAUUUAAGAAAGAAAAAGUGGAAACUCACCCAACGUAAAAGAGGAAGCUGUGCAGAGACUAGAGCGGGGUGAGGGUGCAUAGCACCGGAAAACGGGUGAAAGGGUGACAGCAGGGAGGAAAAAUCAAGAACAGUUUUCAUGGGGGCCGCUGGGAGGCGCCACCGUGCUCAUCACGGAGGGAGUCAGAAGAGCUUCCGGUCCCUGGGUUCGGACUUCCGGUUCUUACCUCUGGGUACCCAGCGAAGCUUUUGAAUUGAAAGGAAUUGCUCUGGACCCCUGACCUGAGCCUUGUCCCCCUUUCUCCCCGAGACCUGUGCUUUUUCCCAGCAAUGGGAAAGGUUUGUCCUGGCUCCACUGAGCCCAUCCUCUGGGCCAUAGCAUCCUCUCCGUCUGCUGAAGGCUCAGCCUGGCCUGGCAUCAAAGCCCUUGCAGGGUGGGUGCUGCUGCUCUUCCAGCAGCAGCUCCGGAAGGCAGUCCCUUGUGGAGUCGGCAUCUAUGAGCACUGGGGCCAAACAGUGGGACCCAGCUGAGCACAAUCAGCCCGGUGCUCAGUAGCAGCAGCUGUGCCAUCACGCAGAAGUGACAGGACUUCAAAGAGGCUCAGGACAUGGGGCAGCCUCUGAUGGGUCAAGGGACCCAGGCCAGAGCAAAGCAGGCGGCAGGUCCAGCUUCCCGCUAUCCCCCAAACCUGGAAUCGCGCUGCCUGGCUGUCUGGAGCUGCCCCCCUGGAAAUGACCCAGGACAUCACAACAGAUCUGAGAUAAAUUGCUGACCCUCUGACCACAAAUGAUCAUUUAACUUCCCCAA
Long non-coding RNA from Chinchilla lanigera (long-tailed chinchilla), 1013 nucleotides. RefSeq lists it as uncharacterized. NCBI's taxonomy places the organism in Eukaryota, Metazoa, Chordata, Mammalia, Rodentia, Chinchillidae. The record is from RefSeq and is a predicted model, not a curated record. The transcript has 3 exons.